Molecule: ribosomal RNA, 443 nt
Filed under: uncultured bacterium
Lineage: Bacteria
Description: partial 16S ribosomal RNA
Rfam family: Bacterial small subunit ribosomal RNA
Source: RNAcentral
CCUACGGGUGGCUGCAGUGGGGAAUAUUGGGCAAUGGAGGCAACUCUGACCCAGCAACGCCGCGUGAAUGAUGAAGGUCUUCGGGUUGUAAAGUUAUGUGAUGGGGGAUGAAAACAAUGACGGUACUCCAAUAGCAAGCCACGGCUAACUACGUGCCAGCAGCCGCGGUAAGACGUAUGUGGCAAGCGUUAUCCGGAAUGACUGGGCGUAAAGGGUGCGUAGGUGGUUUAGUAAGUUAGCAGUGUAAGUCCUGGGCUCAACCUCAGCGCUACCGCUAAAACUAUUAUACUAGAGUGUGGGAGGGGUAAGUGGAAUUCCUAGUGUAGCGGUAGAAUGCGUAGAUAUUAGGAGGAACAUCAGGGGCGAAGGCGACUUACUGGACUAUAACUGACGCUGAGGCACGAAAGCGUGGGGAGCAAACAGGAUUAGAUACCCCAGUAGUC